GGGUAAUUCCGGGGAAGUGGGCGAGGGAAUGCGGAUGUCCCGAGUGGUGUCCGGAGUGAGUGGGCGUAAAGCGAGCGCAGUGUGUUGUAUAAGGCGGAAGUAAAAGGCAGUGGCUCAACCAUUGUGUGCUUUGGAAACUGUACAACUUGAGUGCAGAAGGGGAGAGUGGAAUUCCAUGUGUAGCGGUGAAAUGCGUAGAUAUAUGGAGGAACACCGGUGGCGAAAGCGGCUCUCUGGUCUGUAACUGACACUGAGGCUCGAAAGCGUGGGGAGCAAACAGGAUUAGAUACCCUAGUAGUC
Molecule: ribosomal RNA, 300 nt
Filed under: uncultured Lactobacillus sp.
Lineage: Bacteria; Bacillati; Bacillota; Bacilli; Lactobacillales; Lactobacillaceae
Description: bacterial SSU rRNA
Rfam family: Bacterial small subunit ribosomal RNA
Source: RNAcentral